GAUAGUGGGUGGGUCACUGAGAGUGAGAGAGGGAAACAAUGAGGAGGAGCGAAUAAGGGACUGUCACGCUGCUUUUCCGUUUCACAACUCAGAGAAGCUGGAGAGACAAGGGACGAUAAACCGGUUUUUAUCCGGACAGCCAUGGAAUGGGUCUCACUCCGUCGCUCAUCAGUCUGGGGAAAGAAGUUCGUGUUUUUGUUGCUUUUGCUUUUAGCUUUAAAUAAGGCUACAAGACCAGUGGAAUGUAAAUCCCUUUCCCAACAAUACAAACCCAUGGAACAGGCUCCCGUGCUUCCUGCCUCCUGCCGUCUGGCAUUCCUACCCUCAAAUAUUAAGAAGACCAUCCAGCAGGCUUUGCAGGAUGAGCAAGACUCAGGAAUGUGUCCCCCAAAUCGCUGUUUCGUGCCGGCAGUGGCCCGUUUCCCAGUGAUAAGGUGGGCUCGUACCUCCUGGUUCGCCUGGCACCUCGGAACAUGCCGCACCAUCGCAUUACUCAAGCAUCACUUCUGGUGGGUGACCUUGGAGCAGGAUCUGCGGGAGUACAUCUCUGCUUGGAAAGUCAACAAGACCCGAAACCAGUGACCCUCUGGAUGACCACUAGCCAUACCUUCUCACCCCUGCCUUCUCUUCUCAGUAUCACAUGGUAGGCUGGAGCCUACCAUGAUUGGAUACCAGGGGGGUGGUACUCUCAUUUCUGCCUGGAAUUUUCCUACCAUUCUACUGGAAUCUUCUGGGCAGGGCCAUCAUGCUCUGCUUGACAUCUCCACUCACUUGCAGCUGAUUUCAGGCUGUCAUUGGAGUGAUUUAAGCCUUUUAGCUGUUUAGUUCUUGUCACGUUAAAAGACUUGUGUUUAACUAAUAAACAUUGUAAAAAUUC
This is a long non-coding RNA of Oreochromis aureus, 877 nucleotides long. RefSeq lists it as uncharacterized. Lineage: Eukaryota; Metazoa; Chordata; Actinopteri; Cichliformes; Cichlidae. The record is from RefSeq and is a predicted model, not a curated record. The transcript has 2 exons.